AAAGAAAUCGUUAAGGGCGUAUGGCGGAUGCCUAGGCUUUCAGAGGCGACGAAGGACGUGGUAAGCUGCGAAAAGCUGCGGGGAUUGGCACACACGAAUUGAUCCGCAGAUAUCCGAAUGGGGCAACCCGGCAUAUUGAAGAUAUGUCACCUCGCAAGAGGAGCAAACCCGGAGAACUGAAACAUCUAAGUACCCGGAGGAAAAGAAAUCGAAGAGAUUCCGUAAGUAGUGGCGAGCGAAAGCGGAUUAGCCCAAAAGUCUUUUUAUGUUUAGAGGAAUGUUCUGGAAAGAACAAUCAUAGAAGGUGAUAAUCCUGUACUCGAAAGGCAUAUAGAGAUGAUAAAUGAGUAGGGCGGGACACGUGAAAUCCUGUCUGAAUAUGGGGGGACCAUCCUCCAAGGCUAAAUACUCCUGAAAGACCGAUAGUGAACAAGUACUGUGAAGGAAAGGUGAAAAGCACUUCGAAUAGAAGGGUGAAAUAGAACCUGAAACCGUACGCCUACAAGCGGUCGGAGCAGCGUAAUGCUGUGACGGCGUGCCUUUUGCAUAAUGAGCCUACGAGUUAAUUUUACUAGCGAGGUUAAGGUAUUAAGUACCGGAGCCGGAGCGAAAGCGAGUCUGAAUAGGGCGCAUAGUUAGUAGGAUUAGACGCGAAACCUUGUGAUCUACCCAUGGGCAGGUUGAAGCUCUGGUAACACAGAGUGGAGGACCGAACCGGUUGACGUUGAAAAGUCUUCGGAUGACCUGUGGGUAGGGGUGAAAGGCCAAUCAAACUGGGAGAUAGCUCGUACUCUCCGAAAUGCAUUUAGGUGCAGCGUCGUAUAUAAGUUUAUUAGAGGUAGAGCUACUGAUUGGAUGCGGGGGUUUCAUCGCCUACCAUUCCUGACAACUCCGAAUGCUAAUAAAUGUUCUACGGCAGUGAGGGCAUGGGUGCUAAGGUCCAUGUCCGAGAGGGAAAGAACCCAGACCCACAGCUACAGGUCCCCAAUAUAUGUUAAGUUGAAGCAACGCGGUUGGACUGCAUUGACAGCUAGGAUGUUGGCUUGGAAGCAGCCAUUCAUUUAAAGAGUGCGUAACAGCUCACUAGUCGAGCGGUCCGGCAUGGAUAAUAAUCGGGCAUAAACAUAUUACCGAAGCUAUGGAUUUAUAUUUUAGAUAUAUCUGGUAGGAGAGCAUUCUAUUUGCGCCGAAGCAGUACUGUGAGGUAUUGUGGAGCGGAUAGAAAAGAAAAUGUAGGCAUAAGUAACGAUAAAGCAGGCGAGAAACCUGCUCACCGAAAGACCAAGGCUUCCUCAGCCAUGCUAAUCAGCUGAGGGUUAGUCGGGACCUAACGCGAACCCGAAAGGGGUAGUGGAUGGACAUGGGUUAAUAUUCCCAUACUUGCUCACAAUAAAAGGGGACGGUUGGAUGUAGCUGCUGGAGACUGACGGAAUAGUCAAGGCCUAGCCUUCGGGCGAAGCUGCUGUAGUGUAAUCUGAUCCGAGAAAAGCCGAAGUGAAGCNACCCGUACCAAAACCGACCCAGGUGGUCGAGGAGAGAAUCCUAAGGUGCUCGAGUGAGUCGUGGCUAAGGAACUAGGCAAAAUAGUCUCGUAACUUCGGAAGAAGAGACGCCACAGCANNNNNNNNNNNNNNNNNNNNNNNNNNNNNNNNNNNNNNNNNNNNNNNNNNAAUGUAGGCAUAAGUAACGAUAAAGCAGGCGAGAAACCUGCUCACCGAAAGACCAAGGCUUCCUCAGCCAUGCUAAUCAGCUGAGGGUUAGUCGGGACCUAACGCGAACCCGAAAGGGGUAGUGGAUGGACAAUGGGUUAAUAUUCCCAUACUUGCUCACAAUAAAAGGGGACGGUUGGAUGUAGCUGCUGGAGACUGACGGAAUAGUCAAGGCCUAGCCUUCGGGCGAAGCUGCUGUAGUGUAAUCUGAUCCAAGAAAAGCCGAAGUGAAGCAACCCGUACCAAAACCGACACAGGUGGUCGAGGAGAGAAUCCUAAGGUGCUCGAGUGAGUCGUGGCUAAGGAACUAGGCAAAAUAGUCUCGUAACUUCGGAAGAAGAGACGCCAACAGCAAUGUUGGCCGCAGUGAAGAGGCCCAGGCGACUGUUUAUCAAAAACACAGGACUCUGCUAAAUCGAAAGAUGCUGUAUAGGGUCUGACACCUGCCCGGUGCUGGAAGGUUAAGGAAGGUGCUUAGCGUAAGCGAAGGCAUUAACUGAAGCCCCAGUAAACGGCGGCCGUAACUAUAACGGUCCUAAGGUAGCGAAAUUCCUUGUCGGGUAAGUUCCGACCUGCACGAAUGGUGUAACGAUCUGGGCACUGUCUCAGCCACGAGCUCGGUGAAAUUGUAGUAUCGGUGAAGAUGCCGAUUACCCGCAAUGGGACGAAAAGACCCUGUGAACCUUUACUAUAACUUCGUAUUGACUUUGAGUAAGUAAUGUGUAGGAUAGGUGGGAGGCUUUGAAGCAGGCACGCUAGUGUUUGUGGAGCCGACGUUGAAAUACCACCCUUUACUUACUUGGAGCCUAACUUCUUUCAGAAGGACAUUGCGUGGUGGGUAGUUUGACUGGGGUGGUCGCCUCCAAAAGAGUAACGGAGGCUUUCAAAGGUACCCUCAGCACGCUUGGUAACCGUGCGUAGAGUGUAAUGGCAUAAGGGUGCUUGACUGUGAGACCUACAAGUCGAUCAGGUGCGAAAGCAGGACAUAGUGAUCCGGUGGUUCCGUAUGGAAGGGCCAUCGCUCAUAGGAUAAAAGGUACUCCGGGGAUAACAGGCUAGUCUCCCCCAAGAGCUCACAUCGACGGGGAGGUUCGGCACCUCGAUGUCGGCUCGUCACAUCCUGGGGCUGGAGAAGGUCCCAAGGGUUGGGCUGUUCGCCCAUUAAAGUGGCACGCGAGCUGGGUUCAGAACGUCGUGAGACAGUUCGGUCUCUAUCUAUUGCGGGCGUUAGAUGUUUGAGAGGGCUUGAUUCUAGUACGAGAGGACCGAAUUGAACAAACCUCUGGUGUAUCAGUUGUACCGCCAGGUGCACCGCUGAGUAGCUACGUUUGGAAGAGAUAAGCACUGAAAGCAUAUAAGUGCGAAACUCGCCUCAAGAUGAGACAUCUUUUAAGGGUCGUUGUAGAUGACGACGUUGAUAGGCUAUAGGUGUAAAGACAGUAAUGUCAUAGCCAAGUAGUACUAAUUACCCGUAGAUUUAUAGUC
Molecule: ribosomal RNA, 3194 nt
Organism: Oryza sativa (Asian cultivated rice)
Lineage: Eukaryota; Viridiplantae; Streptophyta; Magnoliopsida; Poales; Poaceae
Rfam family: Bacterial large subunit ribosomal RNA
Source: Rfam